RNAcentral lists this ribosomal RNA (1343 nucleotides) under uncultured bacterium. RNAcentral describes it as "16S ribosomal RNA". It matches the Rfam family "Bacterial small subunit ribosomal RNA", at positions 28 to 1378 of the family's 1533-position model. The record is from RNAcentral.
GACGAACGCUGGCGGCGUGCUUAACACAUGCAAGUCGAACGGAAAGGCCCUGCUUUUGUGGGGUGCUCGAGUGGCGAACGGGUGAGUAACACGUGAGUAACCUGCCCUUGACUUUGGGAUAACUUCAGGAAACUGGGGCUAAUACCGGAUAGGAGCUCCUGCUGCAUGGUGGGGGUUGGAAAGUUUCGGCGGUUGGGGAUGGACUCGCGGCUUAUCAGCUUGUUGGUGGGGUAGUGGCUUACCAAGGCUUUGACGGGUAGCCGGCCUGAGAGGGUGACCGGCCACAUUGGGACUGAGAUACGGCCCAGACUCCUACGGGAGGCAGCAGUGGGGAAUAUUGCACAAUGGGCGGAAGCCUGAUGCAGCAACGCCGCGUGCGGGAUGACGGCCUUCGGGUUGUAAACCGCUUUCGCCUGUGACGAAGCGUGAGUGACGGUAAUGGGUAAAGAAGCACCGGCUAACUACGUGCCAGCAGCCGCGGUGAUACGUAGGGUGCGAGCGUUGUCCGGAUUUAUUGGGCGUAAAGGGCUCGUAGGUGGUUGAUCGCGUCGGAGGUGUAAUCUUGGGGCUUAACCCUGAGCGUGCUUUCGAUACGGGUUGACUUGAGGAAGGUAGGGGAGAAUGGAAUUCCUGGUGGAGCGGUGGAAUGCGCAGAUAUCAGGAGGAACACCAGUGGCGAAGGCGGUUCUCUGGGCCUUUCCUGACGCUGAGGAGCGAAAGCGUGGGGAGCGAACAGGCUUAGAUACCCUGGUAGUCCACGCUGUAAACGGUGGGUACUAGGUGUGGGGUCCAUUCCACGGGUUCCGUGCCGUAGCUAACGCUUUAAGUACCCCGCCUGGGGAGUACGGCCGCAAGGCUAAAACUCAAAGGAAUUGACGGGGCCCCGCACAAGCGGCGGAGCAUGCGGAUUAAUUCGAUGCAACGCGUAGAACCUUACCUGGGUUUGACAUGGAUCGGGAGUGCUCAGAGAUGGGUGUGCCUCUUUUGGGGUCGGUUCACAGGUGGUGCAUGCCUGUCGUCAGCUCGUGUCGUGAGAUGUUGGGUUAAGUCCCGCAACGAGCGCAACCCUUGUUCACUGUUGCCAGCACGUUAUGGUGGGGACUCAGUGGAGACCGCCGGGGUCAACUCGGAGGAAGGUGGGGAUGACGUCAAGUCAUCAUGCCCCUUAUGUCCAGGGCUUCACGCAUGCUACAAUGGCUGGUACAGAGAGUGGCGAGCCUGUGAGGGUGAGCGAAUCUCGGAAAGCCGGUCUCAGUUCGGAUUGGGGUCUGCAACUCGACCUCAUGAAGUCGGAGUCGCUAGUAAUCGCAGAUCAGCAACGCUGCGGUGAAUACGUUCCCGGG